UAAGGAAUAUUGGUCAAUGGACGCAAGUCUGAACCAGCCAUGCCGCGUGGAGGAUGAAGGUCCUCUGGAUUGUAAACUUCUUUUCUCUGGGGCGAAAAAAGGGCUUUCUAGCUCACUUGACAGUACCAGAGGAAUAAGCACCGGCUAACUCCGUGCCAGCAGCCGCGGUAAUACGGAGGGUGCAAGCGUUAUCCGGAUUCACUGGGUUUAAAGGGUGCGUAGGAGGGCAGGUAAGUCAGUGGUGAAAUCCCCGAGCUUAACUUGGGAACUGCCGUUGAUACUAUCUGUCUUGAAUAUUGUGGAGGUAAGCGGAAUAUGUCAUGUAGCGGUGAAAUGCUUAGAUAUGACAUAGAACACCAAUUGCGAAGGCAGCUUGCUACACAAUUAUUGACUCUGAUGCACGAAAGCGUGGGGAUCAAACAGGAUUAGAUACCCCCGUAGUCC
This 444-nucleotide ribosomal RNA is filed under the name uncultured bacterium. Its description in RNAcentral is "bacterial SSU rRNA". It matches the Rfam family "Bacterial small subunit ribosomal RNA", at positions 355 to 796 of the family's 1533-position model. The record is from RNAcentral.